RNAcentral lists this ribosomal RNA (497 nucleotides) under uncultured bacterium. RNAcentral describes it as "partial 16S ribosomal RNA". It matches the Rfam family "Bacterial small subunit ribosomal RNA", at positions 28 to 507 of the family's 1533-position model. The record is from RNAcentral.
GAUGAACGCUGGCGGCGUGCCUAAUACAUGCAAGUCGAGCGGACAGACGAGGAGCUUGCUCCUCUGACGUUAGCGGCGGACGGGUGAGUAACACGUGGAUAACCUACCUAUAAGACUGGGAUAACUUCGGGAAACCGGAGCUAAUACCGGAUAAUAUAUUGAACCGCAUGGUUCAAUAGUGAAAGACGGUUUUGCUGUCACUUAUAGAUGGAUCCGCGCCGCAUUAGCUAGUUGGUAAGGUAACGGCUUACCAAGGCAACGAUGCGUAGCCGACCUGAGAGGGUGAUCGGCCACACUGGAACUGAGACACGGUCCAGACUCCUACGGGAGGCAGCAGUAGGGAAUCUUCCGCAAAGGGCGAAAGCUUGACGGAGCAACGCCGCGUGAGUGAUGAAGGUCUUCGGAUCGUAAAACUCUGUUAUUAGGGAAGAACAAAUGUGUAAGUAACUAUGCACGUCUUGACGGUACCUAAUCAGAAAGCCACGGCUAACUACGUG